AGCUAAUAGAUACCCAGGUAGUCCCAGCAGUAAACGGUGCGCGUUUGGUGUGAGCAGAUUCGACUCCGUUCGCGCCGGAGCUAACGCGUUAAACGCGCCGCCUGGGAAGUACGAUCGCAAGAUUAAAACUCAAAGAAAUUGACGGGGGCCCGCACAAGCGGUGGAGUAUGUGGCUUAAUUCGAUGCAACGCGAAGAACCUUACCUGGGUUUGACAUGCAUCUCUAAGGAGGUGAAAGCUUCCGAGGGUAGCAAUACCCGAUUUGCACAGGUGCUGCAUGGCUGUCGUCAGCUCGUGUCGUGAGAUGUUGGGUUUAAGUCCCGCAACGAGCGCAACCCUUGUAUGCUGUUGCUAUGCUUACGCAUAGCUCUCUGCGUAGACUGCCCCGUGAAACGGGGAGGAAGGUGGGGAUGACGUCAAGUCAGCAUGGCCCUUACACCCAGGGCUGCACACGUACUACAAUGCUCAGUACAAUUAGAACCUG
RNAcentral lists this ribosomal RNA (483 nucleotides) under uncultured bacterium. RNAcentral's name for it is "bacterial SSU rRNA". It matches the Rfam family "Bacterial small subunit ribosomal RNA", at positions 767 to 1252 of the family's 1533-position model. The record is from RNAcentral.